UCAAAAGGUGGAUGGCCAAUCAAGCAGAUAUUACUCAACACUUUUUGAGAACUGGCAAAUAAUCAGAAGAAAAUAUAGGUGGAAUUCAAUCUAACAAAGAAUCAACUCAGAUGUUUCAGAUCAGCAGGAUCUGUUUUAUGUGUCAUCUUCAUUCCUCAAGCAUUAACCUGUAGGAAUGUCUUCUGCAGUGAUCCUGUAUACAGGCAGCAAGCUUAAAGCAAAUGGCUGACCUUUUUCCCCAAGCUACAGAAGAUAUUGCAGAAGUAUGCCCCAUUUGCUCUCAGACAGGAAGCAUCCACUGAGAUUCUUAAGACAGAUAGUUUCCAAGUUUUUUUCCUGGGAGGAGAAGGGAAGUGUUUACAACUG
This 366-nucleotide long non-coding RNA is filed under the name Chrysolophus pictus (golden pheasant). RNAcentral's name for it is "lncRNA (ENSCPIG00010000621.1)". Lineage: Eukaryota; Metazoa; Chordata; Aves; Galliformes; Phasianidae. The record is from RNAcentral.